Molecule: long non-coding RNA, 424 nt
Filed under: Hordeum vulgare
Lineage: Eukaryota; Viridiplantae; Streptophyta; Magnoliopsida; Poales; Poaceae
Description: long non-coding RNA (HVUL_LNC006008)
Source: RNAcentral
GAAAGGACAAUUUUUAAUCAGGGAGGUGCACCUCCAUGCCCGUAAUGAAAUCGUACCUCAACCCCUCACCCCUGACUAUGUUUUUGUCGUGUGGAAAACCUAUACCAUGUUCCUCGCAUGUCCUAUACUAGAAACUAGACUCUACUCCUUUGCUCAUUCAUUGAUGUGACCAUCAUCACCCACCUUGCCUGAAUAAACAAGAAGAAGACACCCAUUGUCCAGUGUGAAGCAGUGUGAAGACAUGACCAAAAUCCAACAACCACACUAUAUCCAUCCCCUUGGCCCUCAACCAUGGCAACAAGCUUCCUACUUGCUAUCAUGUUAUUGGGGUGUGAGUAGAUUACUAGAGCUUCUUGUUGUGGCCUUGCGCAUAUUCGUUAAUUAGGGCUAUGCUCUGCAUGUAAUUUUAUUGUACGCACGGAGG